This is a long non-coding RNA of Antechinus flavipes (yellow-footed antechinus), 3557 nucleotides long. RefSeq lists it as uncharacterized. NCBI's taxonomy places the organism in Eukaryota, Metazoa, Chordata, Mammalia, Dasyuromorphia, Dasyuridae. The transcript is spliced from 2 exons. The record is from RefSeq and is a predicted model, not a curated record.
UUGUGAUAAACAUUCUUAGGUUGAGUUCUAUGGAGAGAAUCGGGCUAGUUGUUCUGGCCUGGAAGACAGAGGCUGGGCCUCCAUUGGCCCUUCUUGGAGUCUCUGAUACAGGAUGACUGGUGUCAGGAGAGUGUGGUGACUCUGGCCUGCUCUCUUCCCUCUGAAAUUUGGGUCUUUUGAAUUUUUUCUUUGUGUGUGUUAUCCCUUACCUCCUGUAAAUGGACAUGUGAAUUGGGACAGUGACUGCCAUCUUAAAGUCAGGAAGCAUUGCUUAGGCUCCUGCUCAGUACCUGGCCCCGUGUUAAAUGCUUUGCAGUUAUUGGUGCUGUGUAUCCCCUUUUACAGUGCUCCCUAUAGGUGAGGGGUCUGAGAGAAUUGAAAAAGUAGGAAGGGGUCAGUUUGUGAAGGGCCUGCAGAGCCCAAAAGAAGAUUUCUUGUUUCACCCUGGAGGUAAUAGACAGGCCCUGGAAUUUAUUGAGUUGAGGGCUUGGGUAACAUAGCCAGACCUGUAUAUUAGAAGAUCCUCUGACAACUGAGUGAUAGACCAGAGUGGGGAAAGACCUAAUUAGUGAUCUGACGUGAUCAGACAUGCACUUUUGGAAAAUGAUUUUGACAUCUGAAUGGGAGAGACUGGGGGUAGGAAGAUCUCCCCAUUCCAGCAGGAUAUUACAAUAGCUUAGGUAUGAGAACAUAAAAGUCUGCACCAGGGUAGGAGUAAUAGGGCAUAUUGGAAAGAUGCUGCAGAGUUGAAACUGACCAGAGAUGCUGCAGAGGUGAAAGUGACAAGAGAUACUGCAGAAAUGAAAGUGACGAGAUAUUACAAAGGUGAAAUGGAGGAGAGGUGCUGCAGAGGUGAAAGUGAGAAGAGAUAAGUGAUAAAAGAUACUUCAGAGGUGAAAGUGACAGAGAUACUGGAGAGGUGAAAGUGAGAAGAGAUAAGUGAUAAAAAGCUACUCCAGAGGUGAAAGUGACAGAUAUUUCAGAGGUGAAACUGACAAGAAAUGUUACAGAGGGGAAAUGGAGGAGAGCUGCUAUAGAGGUGAAAGUGACAAGAGAUACUGCAGAGGUGAAACUGACAAGAGAUACUACAGAGGUGAAAGUGACAAGAGAUGCUGCAGAGGUGAAAGUGACGAGAUACUACAUAGGUGAGAUGGAAGAGAGAUGCUGCAGAGGUUUGAAAGUGAAGAGGUAAGUGACAAAAGAUACUGCAGAGGUGAAAGUGACAAAAGAUGCUACAGAGGUGAAAGUGACAAAAGAUACUGCAGAAUUGAAACUGAUGAGAGAUACUGCAGAAGUGAGAUUGUCAGGCCUUGGCACCAUAAUGUGUAUGGGGUGAGAGUAAGGAAUUGAGGAUGAUUCUUGAGGAAGACUCUCAGAUUGGGAGCACAGGGAUUGGGAUGAGGAUGUUAUCCUCUCUAGUAUUAGGGAAGGUAGGAGGAAGGAGGUUUAGUGGGAAAGAGAAUGAGUUCAGUGAAAAUAAAUUUGUUACUCCCACUUCUGGAACUUUUAAUUAAAAAGUGGGAGAAGAAUUUUCAAUCAGUGUGGAAUGUGCUAUGUUGGACUCUGUUUGCCAGAUCUUCAUUUCAUUUCUGACCUGACUGUGCUUUUUAGAGUGAUGGAUGCUUUCUAAUCCAGUGCUGGGUAUUUUCUUGAAGAACCUUCUCAAGUGGGGUUCUGGUAUUCCUUGUCUUCAAUUCAGAGUUUCCUUUUUGUUGUUUUCCUUUAAAACCAAACUAAACCGCCCAGUCCAAACAACCAAACCAACCAAAUGCACGAAUAAUGCAUCCUGAGCUCUUGUAAUUUUCUUGACUCCGUUGAGGCUGGAAAGAAGCUGUGUUGGUAAACUAAGUUUGACUGGAAAGACCAGCAGUUCUAUUUUUCGAAAAGCUUUCUUAUUAUGUUGUCUUAUUCCUGGAUUCAGCACCAGGAUUUCCAUACCAUUUGCAGAUUCUCUUUUAGGAAAUAUUCAUGUUCAGUAUUUAUUAAGUGGCUACUGUCUGCAGAGCCCUGGGGUUCAUGCUCUGGAGGAUUAAAGGAGCUGGUAAAAGUUGCAGAAAGACUAGAUCGGGUGACAAAUAUGGAAAUGUGUUUAAAAAGAUUGCACUUGUUUAACCUCUAUCAGACAUGACCCUGCCCUCUGGAGACUUACUGCAUCAGAGAGAGUACUCUCCACUCAGACCACAAGAACUUUGAAAAUUCAGCAUAGUAACAAGAAUCAUUUUCACUUUUUCAGCACUGUCAGAUUUGCCAGUCAUUUUCAUGUAUUUUCUCUUCUAAGAGAAAAGGCCUGUAAGGAGCUAUUCUUCUGAUUUUUAGUCAAAGAAAAGGAAAGAUGAUUGGGAGGUAAUUGGCACAGGGCCAUGGGGCAAGUAAGAGUUUGUGGCAGGAUUUGAACUCCAGGCACUACUGACUGGGUGGUGUCUGUUCAAAUCCAAGACAACCAUUCAGCAUCACAGUGCUACAAGUCUGUGCUCCACGCAAUGAGGUCAAAGGACCAAAGUCAAGCAACUCUUUGAAGAGUCUUCUAGAAAAACAGCCAAUUCAUCCCUGGGGCUUGGAAUACUAAUGUAGGACAUCAAAAGAUCAUUAGAAGAAGAGAAAAGUUUGGCUUUAGAGGACAAAAGGGAAGAAGGGCAGAGACUGAUAGUCAAAACCAAGAUUCUGAGAGAUUCAGACGGCAGAGACGGAGGCAGGAGCUCAAGCUCUCGGAACCGAGGAGAGAGAUACGCCUCUAAGAAAGUUAAUCGGGCCCCAGGAAAGGAGACAAGACUUGGAAAGAGAUAAUAAAGGAUUUGGACUUUAACACCUGGCUGCACUUGUGCGAAUACUGAACUGAAACGAAGGCUGCCGCCGGAGAUCCCAAGAAAAUCUCAACAGAGAACAUUACAUUUUAGAGAGAAUGUUACAAGUUCCCACCAAAAAAAAGUUGUUGUAUUUUAGUACAAAUUGCUCCUUUUCUCAUUAAAAAAAAUCUCUUUGGGAUACAGACCAAGUAAUGGUAUUGCUAGAUCAAAAAACAUACACAGCUUUAUGGUCUUUUGGGCAUACUUCCAAACUGCCCUCUAGAAUGUCUGGAUCAGUUUACAGCUCCACCAAUGGUGCCUUAGUGUCUCAGUUUUCCUACUUCCCCUUCAACAUUUAUCAUUUGCCUUUUUUUGUCAUCUUGGAUAUUGGUCAGUCUGAUAGUACUAGGCAGUGUCUCCGAACUGCUUUAACUUGCAUUUCCUCUAAUCAGUAGUGACUUAGAGCAUUUUGUCAUCUGACUGUAGUUAUUCUAAUUUCUUUAAAAACUGCCCAUGCAGUUAAUUUGGGGACUGACUUAUAUCCUUAAAAAUCCGACUCCUCCUUUAUAUAUUUGAGAAAUGAGGCCUGAAGCUGAGAAACUUGCUGUACAAAUUUGUGGUUUUCUCUUUUCUUAACUUUGGUUGCAUUGGUUUUGUUUGUUCAAAAGCUUUUUAAUGUAAUGUGCUCAAAAUGAUCCAUUUUGCAUUUUAUAAUGUUGUCUUUUAUCUUGUUCUCCUUCUGUCUGACAAAUGAAUGAUCUCAUGCUUCCCUAA